This 336-nucleotide unclassified non-coding RNA is filed under the name soil metagenome. RNAcentral's name for it is "partial contains 5.8S ribosomal RNA, internal transcribed spacer 2, and large subunit ribosomal RNA". The stretch from base 1 to 120 matches the Rfam family "5.8S ribosomal RNA", at positions 35 to 154 of the family's 154-position model. The record is from RNAcentral.
GAUGAAGAACGCAGCGAAAUGCGAUAAGUAAUGUGAAUUGCAGAAUUCAGUGAAUCAUCGAAUCUUUGAACGCACAUUGCGCCCGCCAGUAUUCUGGCGGGCAUGCCUGUUCGAGCGUCAUUUCAACCAUCAAGCCCCCGGCUUGUGUUGGGGACAUGCGGCUGCCGCAGGCCCUGAAAAGCAGUGGCGGGCUCGCUGUCACACCGAGCGUAGUAGCAUACAUCUCGCUCUGGGCGUGCUGCGGGUUCCGGCCGUUAAACCACCUUCAUAACCCAAGGUUGACCUCGGAUCAGGUAGGAAGACCCGCUGAACUUAAGCAUAUCAAUAAGCGGAGGA